RNAcentral lists this small RNA (566 nucleotides) under Vigna angularis var. angularis. Its description in RNAcentral is "Non-protein coding transcript". Lineage: Eukaryota; Viridiplantae; Streptophyta; Magnoliopsida; Fabales; Fabaceae. The record is from RNAcentral.
UAGGGUUUCAGAAUUGGGAUUUGGAAGGCUUUCUUAUGCCUCCUCUGCCUGCGCCGUGAAGUGUAUUGCUGCCAAUUGCCAUGGAGAUCUUUGUGCGGGAGAGAAAAAUUUCUCCUUGGUUGCGUUUUGAUUUUUGCAGGUGCUUCACGAUUCUAAUUAUCUCUCGCGAUGAUGGUGGAAAACGAAGGGAAUCAUGCUCCUGAGUUUCCCCUCCUGAGUUUCCCCUCCUGAGUCUCGAUCAUGCUUGCGCGACUAGGAUUCGCUGAUUUGGGGAUUUUUUCUGUGUUUUAGGGUUCCUCUGCCGUUUCUGGUUUUUCUGCGUUUUAGGUUGCAAGACAGUGGAGAUCGAAUCACGAUUGGUGGCAGCCUAGCGAGUAGCUCACAAAGAGGCGCUGGUGUGUUUGGGUGGUCUCUGCAGCGGCAUUGACGAGGUGGUCAAGUGAAGAUGCUUCACAGUGGCGGUUCUAAUUUUGUCUCGCAGUGGUGAAAAUGUUGGGCAAACUUGCGAAUUGGUUCCUGCAAUUUGCAGUUCUGUCUACGGUGGCUGCCAUGGAAGCGUGAUUUGG